Long non-coding RNA from Hippopotamus amphibius kiboko, 433 nucleotides. RefSeq lists it as uncharacterized. The transcript has 2 exons. NCBI's taxonomy places the organism in Eukaryota, Metazoa, Chordata, Mammalia, Artiodactyla, Hippopotamidae. The record is from RefSeq and is a predicted model, not a curated record.
GUUACAAGUGGAUCUGAGCUGAAGAUGCAUUCAGAAAAGGGCUGGUCUAGUGGCUUCCUGUGUCCAGGAUGGAGCAACUUCCUUUACCAUUCUCUGGACGCCCAUGUGCUCCUGACCACAAUGAAGACCACCCCUGCCUUUCCCGCUCCCCAGAGGAGACCGGAGCUUCCUGUUUGUAUCAAUUAUACCAAACACCAGUCACAAGCAGCACGUAAAUCACCCCUCUCCUACUGGAAACCCCUCCGAGGCACCCAGCUAUCUCGCGGUCCAGUUUUUCAGCCUGGUCACCCUCCUCCCUUGUGGUGUCAAGGAAUACACGGACGCAAGAAAUGAGCAGUGACUGCCCCACACCUCCCCGUAGUUCCUGAGCACGACCGGUUUUUCUUGUGAAGUAUCUUACCUGCUUCUAAAUAAACGCCACCGCUCAUUUCCA